AUGGAUGACAGAGAGAAAAGUUUUGAAGAUGCUGCCAGAUUAUGUUGCACAUGCCUGCUUAAAAUGUUCCUCACUGUCACACAUGCCAAAAUUCCCUCAGACUCAAGGCUGUUGCACUGGGUAAUCUUUGAAGUUACUGAUGCAUUGCAGACUUUCUGGAAGCUCAAUGAAGGUCUGGGAAGCUCUUUAUAUCCUGAAAGAACUCGAAUGCUGCUUGCACUGAGGAUCAAUGUUUUGGUCAAAGGGCUCAGCGGGGUUUCACUGGAGACGCUGCACAGCAUGAUCCAGGCCUUCAAUGGGGUUGGCUCUGAUCAAUGGGACUCAGAUGAUCACUUCUUUGGGAGCAGAGGCUGUGGAGAGAGCCGAGGCCAUCGCCCGGCAGGCUGACAUCAUCGCUGCCUUGACCCUGGAAGUCCUUAAGGAGACCACCAAAGCCUUUGAUAGUGGUGAGCUCGUGUAAACAAGUGAUUGACGUUUUGGGUAUGAGCACCGUAUUUAGACGCUGUUCUCAGUUCUGCAGACAGAAACUGUAAACACUGCAGUAAGCUUUCAGACUUGUCAGACAAAACGUAUUUGUGUAACACUGUCACACAUAUAAAGUCACAGUACCUUGUCAGAAAUGCAGGCCUGCAUCUGUUCUCUGAGAGUUUUGGGUUAUGCGAGCACAGUCUCAUAUAAAUGCAUAUAAAUAAUACGUCAGAUAAAAACCAAAACUCAUAGUAUUGAUAUGCAAACAUGGACUUUGGCAUGUACAGUAUGAUACGCAUCUACUCCAUGGCUAUUGGUUAGCAUUACAAAGUUCAAGAGAGAAUAACUUUAACCAAAUACUAGAAGGUUUGAUUUUGACAUCGGUACUAAAGUCAUGUUAACCAUGAACUAAAACAGAUAGGUUUCUUUCUGCAGUUUCAGAGAACAAAGUGCUUUGCCAUGCCUCCUCUAUUGACUCCCUGUCCACUAGUGCAGCCACGGAGGACCACGUGUCCAUGGGAGGCUGGGCCGCACUAAAGCCCUCAGAGUGGUUGAGCACUUCAAGCAAGGUCCAAAACCUGAUAUCAGCCUACCAUUUAGCUCAAAUUGUUACUAUAAUGGUGCCCCCAUUGGAUUACCAAAGCACGAGAGCACAAAGUGUAGUAGUAUUUAAUAUUUUCCAUCAGAAUCUCAUCAUGGCAAGUCAUAACUGGUUUAUAAUAAAGUGAAUUGGUGGCAAAUUUGAUAAUCUCAUUCAUACAUUUUCAUACUACUUACUCCUACUGUGUGGUUGGGUUUAAGGGUGGACCUGCUUGCUUGCUUAUUUUAACUGAAUACAUUUUUUUUUUAAUGAACAAUCAUUUUGUGGCUAAUUUGUAUUAAUUUAUAUGAUCUUAUUCAUAUGUUUUUGGAUUCUGUUUAUCCCCAUUGUCAGUAAGGUUUAAAGGGAUAGUUCACCUUCAUUUGCUGGUCACAUUGACUUGCAUAUUUUAUUUAUUUAUUUCCCAUUCUAUGGAAGUCAAUGGGGACCAGCAACUAAAGCUGAAGCAUAGGAAUAUCUCACUGGCAAUUU
Molecule: long non-coding RNA, 1540 nt
Filed under: Carassius auratus (goldfish)
Lineage: Eukaryota; Metazoa; Chordata; Actinopteri; Cypriniformes; Cyprinidae
Description: lncRNA (ENSCARG00000064781.1)
Source: RNAcentral